Molecule: unclassified non-coding RNA, 345 nt
Filed under: soil metagenome
Description: partial contains 5.8S ribosomal RNA, internal transcribed spacer 2, and large subunit ribosomal RNA
Rfam family: 5.8S ribosomal RNA (bases 1-119)
Source: RNAcentral
GAUGAAGAACGCAGCGAAAUGCGAUACGUGAUGUGAAUUGCAAAUUCAGUGAAUCAUCGAGUCUUUGAACGCACAUUGCGCCCCCUGGUAUUCCGGGGGGCAUGCCUGUCCGAGCGUCAUUGCUGCCCUCAAGCACGGCUUGUGUGUUGGGCCCCGUCCUCCGAUCCCGGGGGACGGGCCCGAAAGGCAGCGGCGGCACCGCGUCCGGUCCUCGAGCGUAUGGGGCUUUGUCACCCGCUCUGUAGGCCCGGCCGGCGCUUGCCGAUCAACCCAAAUUUUUAUCCAGGUUGACCUCGGAUCAGGUAGGGAUACCCGCUGAACUUAAGCAUAUCAAUAAGCGGAGGA